GAUCCUGCCAGUAGUCAUAUGCUUGUCUCAAAGAUUAAGCCAUGCAUGUCUCAGUACAAACCGAAAUAAGGUGAAACCGCGAAAGGCUCAUUAUAUCAGUUAUGGUUCAUUAGAUCGUACCAACAUUUACUUGGAUAACUGUGGUAAUUCUAGAGCUAAUACGCGCAAACAGAACUCCGACCGGAGACGGAAGGAGCGCUUUUAUUAGAUCAAAACCAACGCGGGCGGCGCGCGCCGGCGGCCUCGCGUCGUCGCGCCGCGCCGUCUCACACAUAGCUCGCGAGACGAAUCUGAAUAACUUUACGCCGAUCGCACGGCCUCGCGCCGGCGACGCAUCUUUCAAAUGUCUGCCUUAUCAACUUUCGAUGGUAGGUUAUGCGCCUACCAUGGUCGUAACGGGUAACGGGGAAUCAGGGUUCGAUUCCGGAGAGGGAGCCUGAGAAACGGCUACCACAUCCAAGGAAGGCAGCAGGCGCGCAAAUUACCCACUCCCGGCACGGGGAGGUAGUGACGAAAAAUAACGAUACGGGACUCAUCCGAGGCCCCGUGAUCGGAAUGAGCACACUUUAAAUCCUUUAACGAGGAUCAAUUGGAGGGCAAGUCUGGUGCCAGCAGCCGCGGUAAUUCCAGCUCCAAUAGCGUAUAUUAAAGUUGCUGCGGUUAAAAAGCUCGUAGUCGAAAUUGUGUCCUCGGCCGCCGGUUCGUCGCUCGCGACGCCAACUGGCGCGCACGCUGGACGUCCAGCCGGCGGUGCUAUAAACGCCUACUCGCCUACGGGGUGCUCUUAACCGAGUGUCCAGGCGGGGGCCGGCAACGUUACUUUGAACAAACUAGAGUGCUUAAAGCAGGCUAAAUUGCGCUCGCAUACGUACGCGCAUGGAAUAAUCGAAUAGGACCUCCGUUCUAUUUUUGUUGGGUUUUUGUGGAACGACAAGCGGAGGUAAUGAUCAAUGGGUGCGGAUGGGGGCAUUCGUAUUGCGACGUUAGAGGUGAAAUUCUUGGAUCGUCGCAAGACGGACUUAAGCGAA
This 1028-nucleotide ribosomal RNA is filed under the name Cheguevaria sp. 2 OK-2020. RNAcentral describes it as "SSU rRNA". It matches the Rfam family "Eukaryotic small subunit ribosomal RNA", at positions 10 to 949 of the family's 1831-position model. Lineage: Eukaryota; Metazoa; Arthropoda; Insecta; Coleoptera; Lampyridae. The record is from RNAcentral.